This 81-nucleotide microRNA precursor is filed under the name Rattus norvegicus (Norway rat). RNAcentral describes it as "microRNA rno-mir-671 precursor". Its record names the gene rno-mir-671. It matches the Rfam family "mir-671 microRNA precursor family". The record is from miRBase by way of RNAcentral. Lineage: Eukaryota; Metazoa; Chordata; Mammalia; Rodentia; Muridae.
CAGGAAGAGGAGGAAGCCCUGGAGGGGCUGGAGGUGAUGGAUGUUUUCCUCCGGUUCUCAGGGCUCCACCUCUUUCGAGCC